RNAcentral lists this ribosomal RNA (460 nucleotides) under uncultured Bacteroidota bacterium. RNAcentral describes it as "bacterial SSU rRNA". It matches the Rfam family "Bacterial small subunit ribosomal RNA", at positions 338 to 795 of the family's 1533-position model. Lineage: Bacteria; Pseudomonadati; Bacteroidota. The record is from RNAcentral.
CCUACGGGGGGCUGCAGUAAGGAAUAUUGGUCAAUGGGCGCAAGCCUGAACCAGCCAUGCCGCGUGCAGGAAGACGGCCCUAUGGGUUGUAAACUGCUUUUGUCAGGGAAUAAACCCCCGCUCGUGAGCGGGGCUGAAGGUACCUGAAGAAUAAGCAUCGGCUAACUCCGUGCCAGCAGCCGCGGUAAUACGGAGGAUGCAAGCGUUAUCCGGAUUCAUUGGGUUUAAAGGGUGCGCAGGCGGAUUGGUAAGUCAGGGGUGAAAUCCCACAGCUCAACUGUGGAACUGCCUUUGAUACUGUCAGUCUAGAGUAUAGUUGAAGUUGGCGGAAUGUGUCAUGUAGCGGUGAAAUGCUUAGAUAUGACACAGAACACCGAUCGCGAAGGCAGCUAGCUAAGCUAUAACUGACGCUCAUGCACGAAAGCGUGGGGAUCAAACAGGAUUAGAUACCCCGGUAGUC